CACGUAGGGUGCGAGCGUUGUCCGGAAUUAUUGGGCGUAAAGAGCUCGUAGGCGGUGUGUCACGUCGGCCGUGAAAACCUGCAGCUUAACUGUGGGCGUGCGGUCGAUACGGGCAUCACUGGAGUUCGGCAGGGGAGACUGGAAUUCCUGGUGUAGCGGUGAAAUGCGUAGAUAUCGGGAGGAACACCAGUGGCGAAGGCGACUUCCUGGCCUGUUCUUGACGCUGAGGCGCGAAAGCGUGGGGAGCAAACAGG
Molecule: ribosomal RNA, 254 nt
Filed under: uncultured bacterium
Lineage: Bacteria
Description: partial 16S ribosomal RNA
Rfam family: Bacterial small subunit ribosomal RNA
Source: RNAcentral